RNAcentral lists this long non-coding RNA (472 nucleotides) under Lactuca sativa (garden lettuce). Its description in RNAcentral is "long non-coding RNA (LSAT_LNC006110)". The record is from RNAcentral. Lineage: Eukaryota; Viridiplantae; Streptophyta; Magnoliopsida; Asterales; Asteraceae.
AGCAAUUCAAUUGGUGAAACCAGUGGUUGAUCGUGGAUUAGUGGUAUAGGUCUCGCCGGUGUGAUUAAGACUGGUGGUCGAACUGGUGGUGUUGGAGUUCUUGGACUUGGGUUUUCCCAGUGCUUUGGUGGUGGUGGUGGUGGUGGAGGUGGCGGAAUUCUGGCUGGCGGAGGUGAGUUUUGUUCACUUGAUGAAUCUGAUAGUCUGGGAGAAGACUCUAGGCUGUCUUUGCUUAAUCGGAUAUCUGGAGGAGGGAUUACCAGAGGCUGAGGCGGCGGCGGUGGUGGUGGUGGUGGAGGAGCUAAGCGAGUCGGCGGCGGAGCAGUUUGAAUUGCAUCAAGGUCCGGUGAUUUCGGCCUUGAUCUUAUUGGACUCAAGCUAACCGGCGGCGAAAUACUAAGAGAAACAGACCUUGCCGGAGAACCCGAACUUGAAGAUGAGCAUGAUGACGAAGAACCGGACCCAAUUAUUC